This 391-nucleotide ribosomal RNA is filed under the name uncultured bacterium. RNAcentral's name for it is "bacterial SSU rRNA". It matches the Rfam family "Bacterial small subunit ribosomal RNA", at positions 971 to 1425 of the family's 1533-position model. The record is from RNAcentral.
UCACCGGCUUGACAUGUAGGAAACCCUCGAACAGGUGAUGCAUGGCUGUCGUCAGCUCGUGUCGUGGGAUGUAGGGUUAAGUCCCGAAACGAGCGCAACCCUGUCCUAGUUGCCAGCGUACGGGACUCUAGGAGACUGCUGGUGAAUACCGGAGGAAGGCGGGGAUGACGUCAAGUCAUCAUGUCCCUUAUGCCGGGCGACACACAUGCUACAAUGGGGUACAAGGGGCACGGUAACGGGAGCAAUCUCAAAACCCCCCCAGUUCGGAUUGUGGUCUGCAACUCGACCACAUGAAGCCGGAAUCGCUAGUAAUCGUAGUCAGCAUAUACGGUGAAUAUGUACUCGGGGAUUGUACACACCGCCCGUCACACCAACCGAGUGGGGGACCGAA